GGCGGCGUGCUUAACACAUGCAAGUCGAACGGAAAGGCCCCUUCGGGGGUACUCGAGUGGCGAACGGGUGAGUAACACGUGGGUGAUCUGCCCUGCACUUCGGGAUAAGCCUGGGAAACUGGGUCUAAUACCGGAUAGGACCACGGGAUGCAUGUCCUGUGGUGGAAAGCUUUUGCGGUGUGGGAUGGGCCCGCGGCCUAUCAGCUUGUUGGUGGGGUGACGGCCUACCAAGGCGACGACGGGUAGCCGGCCUGAGAGGGUGUCCGGCCACACUGGGACUGAGAUACGGCCCAGACUCCUACGGGAGGCAGCAGUGGGGAAUAUUGCACAAUGGGCGCAAGCCUGAUGCAGCGACGCCGCGUGGGGGAUGACGGCCUUCGGGUUGUAAACCUCUUUCACCAUCGACGAAGGUCCGGGUUUUCUCGGAUUGACGGUAGGUGGAGAAGAAGCACCGGCCAACUACGUGCCAGCAGCCGCGGUAAUACGUAGGGUGCGAGCGUUGUCCGGAAUUACUGGGCGUAAAGAGCUCGUAGGUGGUUUGUCGCGUUGUUCGUGAAAUCUCACGGCUUAACUGUGAGCGUGCGGGCGAUACGGGCAGACUGGAGUACUGCAGGGGAGACUGGAAUUCCUGGUGUAGCGGUGGAAUGCGCAGAUAUCAGGAGGAACACCGGUGGCGAAGGCGGGUCUCUGGGCAGUAACUGACGCUGAGGAGCGAAAGCGUGGGGAGCGAACAGGAUUAGAUACCCUGGUAGUCCACGCCGUAAACGGUGGGUACUAGGUGUGGGUUUCCUUCCUUGGGAUCCGUGCCGUAGCUAACGCAUUAAGUACCCCGCCUGGGGAGUACGGCCGCAAGGCUAAAACUCAAAGGAAUUGACGGGGGCCCGCACAAGCGGCGGAGCAUGUGGAUUAAUUCGAUGCAACGCGAAGAACCUUACCUGGGUUUGACAUGCACAGGACGCCGGCAGAGAUGUCGGUUCCCUUGUGGCCUGUGUGCAGGUGGUGCAUGGCUGUCGUCAGCUCGUGUCGUGAGAUGUUGGGUUAAGUCCCGCAACGAGCGCAACCCUUGUCUCAUGUUGCCAGCGGGUAAUGCCGGGGACUCGUGAGAGACUGCCGGGGUCAACUCGGAGGAAGGUGGGGAUGACGUCAAGUCAUCAUGCCCCUUAUGUCCAGGGCUUCACACAUGCUACAAUGGCCGGUACAAAGGGCUGCGAUGCCGCGAGGUUAAGCGAAUCCUUUUAAAGCCGGUCUCAGUUCGGAUCGGGGUCUGCAACUCGACCCCGUGAAGUCGGAGUCGCUAGUAAUCGCAGAUCAGCAACGCUGCGGUGAAUACGUUCCCGGGCCUUGUACACACCGCCCGUCACGUCAUGAAAGUCGGUAACACCCGAAGCCAGUGGCCUAACCCUUUGGGAGGGAGCUGUCGAAGGUGGGAUCGGCGAUUGGGAC
This 1443-nucleotide ribosomal RNA is filed under the name Mycobacterium asiaticum. Its description in RNAcentral is "bacterial SSU rRNA". It matches the Rfam family "Bacterial small subunit ribosomal RNA". Lineage: Bacteria; Bacillati; Actinomycetota; Actinomycetes; Mycobacteriales; Mycobacteriaceae. The record is from RNAcentral.